AUGGAGAGAUUGCCUGCGCUGCAUCUGGCAGUGGUGUCUCUGCUCGGCUUCUGCUGCCUCAUCCAUGCUUCAAGGGCUGCCAUUUCAUUCUCAGCUGGUAAUCAUCUCAUGCCAUCUAGAGAUUUUGUUAUAUUGUUCUGCCUGAUUGAGAGGACGAUUUUAUUCCCAUAUGCACCAGCGGCCCCGAGGGAGCAGCUGCAGAAGACCGACGCAAUCCCAGCUUCCAGUGGAGCAGAUGGUCAGGCUGUCGUAGCGGGAGAGGUAGACCGCGGUGCUGUCAGCAGGAGGAUGGAGAUGGAGAUGCAGCUGGAGGACUACCCGGGGUCCGGCCCCAACGACCACCACUCGCCGUGGUGGCGGCAGGAGAGGAGGAAUUGA
RNAcentral lists this ribosomal RNA (378 nucleotides) under Triticum aestivum (bread wheat). RNAcentral describes it as "partial small subunit ribosomal RNA". Lineage: Eukaryota; Viridiplantae; Streptophyta; Magnoliopsida; Poales; Poaceae. The record is from RNAcentral.